AUGUGGUGGAGCUCUGAGUGCUGCCCCUGUGUGCAGAGCGUGUAUACAGUUUUCUCAUUCUUCCCGCUCUGCUGGUCACCAGUGUUGAAUGGGCCUGGGUGUGAGUCCCUGUCUGGACAUGGGUUCAAGACUAGGUGUCGGGUCAGCUGGUAUCAGGUGGGCAGGGAGGCCGGCUCUGAGAGCCCCAGAGAUGCGGGAGCUGGGAGCAGGCCAGGGAGCCCCGUAGACUUGGGCUCCCUGGAGGACACAUGGAUGCCAGGCUGGGGGAGGAGCGCCCUUUCCGAGGGCAGGGGAGGCAAGGUGGGGGCUGUCCUUCCCCAACCGUCCCUAGUCCCUGAGCUCUGCACAAGUCAUCCUCCAGGGACCCGGCCACCAGGUGCCCGCCUGCCUGGCUGUGUGGCUGUCCCCCCUCUGACCAGGGGGACAGCCCUCGGGGCAGCAUUCCUGUGGGCUCCCCGGUGCUGGCUCUCAUGUGCGUGUGUGUCUUACAGAUUGGAUAUGAAUGCCCUGAGGUCCCGGAGGGCCCAGGAGCGAGCAGCGCUCAUCAGACAAUAUGAGCAGCUGCAGGGAUGCCGAGGAGCGGCACUGUUGGUGCCCGAAGAAGAGGACGAUGAGGGCGGCUGCCUCGUCCCAGACAGGCUUGGGUUCCUGCAGUGAGUCCUCCGCACCCCAGCUCACCCCAGGGCGGGACUGGGGUCAGAAACCCCAACAUGAGGCGGCACACCUGUCCCCGAGUCCCGACCUUGAGCCCAGCUGUGGUCACAGGCAGGCACUGGUCAGCAUUUGGGGGCAGGAGUCGGACAUGGAGGCUGUUCCCACAGAUGUCGGGAGAGAGGCCCCGUUGCUGGAGGGUGGGCUCCGGUAACCUGGAGAGAUGGAGCCAUCUCGGGCCAUCUCUGGCAUGACUCAGCAGCCCACCUUAGCACGGGGAUAAGAGAUUCUGCCUCCAUGUUGUGCCAGAACCUGGAGAAUAAGCAGGAGCAGAGUGGUGGAGAGAUGGCCAGGGUCCGGGCUGACAGAGGAGGGGUGAGCUCGCGCACAAGACAUCAGGAGGCCAGGGCACAGGGGGGAGGGUGGGCAGUCGCGGACCCUGAGGGGUGUAGGGGUCCCAGGUGCCUCGAGCCCCAGAUGCACACUCACAGCACUGAGCAUCUCUCAGGCAGGUCACUCGGACUCGGUCAGUUCCAGGGUGACCCCAUGGGGAGGAGCUGAUGUGGGGAUAUAGCAGCC
This 1230-nucleotide long non-coding RNA is filed under the name Oryctolagus cuniculus (rabbit). RNAcentral's name for it is "lncRNA (ENSOCUG00000031775.1)". Lineage: Eukaryota; Metazoa; Chordata; Mammalia; Lagomorpha; Leporidae. The record is from RNAcentral.